RNAcentral lists this ribosomal RNA (1437 nucleotides) under Lactiplantibacillus pentosus. RNAcentral describes it as "bacterial SSU rRNA". It matches the Rfam family "Bacterial small subunit ribosomal RNA". Lineage: Bacteria; Bacillati; Bacillota; Bacilli; Lactobacillales; Lactobacillaceae. The record is from RNAcentral.
UGCAAGUCGAACGAACUCUGGUAUUGAUUGGUGCUUGCAUCAUGAUUUACAUUUGAGUGAGUGGCGAACUGGUGAGUAACACGUGGGAAACCUGCCCAGAAGCGGGGGAUAACACCUGGAAACAGAUGCUAAUACCGCAUAACAACUUGGACCGCAUGGUCCGAGCUUGAAAGAUGGCUUCGGCUAUCACUUUUGGAUGGUCCCGCGGCGUAUUAGCUAGAUGGUGGGGUAACGGCUCACCAUGGCAAUGAUACGUAGCCGACCUGAGAGGGUAAUCGGCCACAUUGGGACUGAGACACGGCCCAAACUCCUACGGGAGGCAGCAGUAGGGAAUCUUCCACAAUGGACGAAAGUCUGAUGGAGCAACGCCGCGUGAGUGAAGAAGGGUUUCGGCUCGUAAAACUCUGUUGUUAAAGAAGAACAUAUCUGAGAGUAACUGUUCAGGUAUUGACGGUAUUUAACCAGAAAGCCACGGCUAACUACGUGCCAGCAGCCGCGGUAAUACGUAGGUGGCAAGCGUUGUCCGGAUUUAUUGGGCGUAAAGCGAGCGCAGGCGGUUUUUUAAGUCUGAUGUGAAAGCCUUCGGCUCAACCGAAGAAGUGCAUCGGAAACUGGGAAACUUGAGUGCAGAAGAGGACAGUGGAACUCCAUGUGUAGCGGUGAAAUGCGUAGAUAUAUGGAAGAACACCAGUGGCGAAGGCGGCUGUCUGGUCUGUAACUGACGCUGAGGCUCGAAAGUAUGGGUAGCAAACAGGAUUAGAUACCCUGGUAGUCCAUACCGUAAACGAUGAAUGCUAAGUGUUGGAGGGUUUCCGCCCUUCAGUGCUGCAGCUAACGCAUUAAGCAUUCCGCCUGGGGAGUACGGCCGCAAGGCUGAAACUCAAAGGAAUUGACGGGGGCCCGCACAAGCGGUGGAGCAUGUGGUUUAAUUCGAAGCUACGCGAAGAACCUUACCAGGUCUUGACAUACUAUGCAAAUCUAAGAGAUUAGACGUUCCCUUCGGGGACAUGGAUACAGGUGGUGCAUGGUUGUCGUCAGCUCGUGUCGUGAGAUGUUGGGUUAAGUCCCGCAACGAGCGCAACCCUUAUUAUCAGUUGCCAGCAUUAAGUUGGGCACUCUGGUGAGACUGCCGGUGACAAACCGGAGGAAGGUGGGGAUGACGUCAAAUCAUCAUGCCCCUUAUGACCUGGGCUACACACGUGCUACAAUGGAUGGUACAACGAGUUGCGAACUCGCGAGAGUAAGCUAAUCUCUUAAAGCCAUUCUCAGUUCGGAUUGUAGGCUGCAACUCGCCUACAUGAAGUCGGAAUCGCUAGUAAUCGCGGAUCAGCAUGCCGCGGUGAAUACGUUCCCGGGCCUUGUACACACCGCCCGUCACACCAUGAGAGUUUGUAACACCCAAAGUCGGUGGGGUAACCUUUUAGGAACCAGCCGCCC